Molecule: ribosomal RNA, 412 nt
Filed under: uncultured bacterium
Lineage: Bacteria
Description: partial 16S ribosomal RNA
Rfam family: Bacterial small subunit ribosomal RNA
Source: RNAcentral
UUUUCCCCAAUAGGCGAAACGUGGUCCAGGGGGGGGCGCCCCGAGUUAAAAAAAAAAUUUUUUCCCGCAAAAACUCUUUUGCACCCCGACGACCCCCUUCUUUUUUAAUACACCCCCACGGUUGACGGUACCUUGAUAAGAAGCCCCGGGCUAACUACGUGCCAGCAGCCCCCGGUAAUACGUAGGGUGCGAGCGUUAAUCGGAAUUACUGGGCGUAAAGCGUGCGCAGGCGGCUUUGUAAGUCAGAUGUGAAAUCUCUCGAGCUCAAAUUCGGAACUGGUUCGAAAAUACAAGGCUAGAAUAUGUCAGAGGGGGGUAGAAUUCCACGUGUACCAGUGAAAUGCGUAGAGAUGGGAGGAAUACCAAGGCGAAGGCAGCCCCCUGGGUAAUUUACGGUCAGCAGAAAGCUGAC